RNAcentral lists this transfer RNA (75 nucleotides) under Nanobdellota archaeon. Its description in RNAcentral is "tRNA-Ile". It matches the Rfam family "tRNA". From Rfam's summary of the family: Transfer RNA (tRNA) molecules are approximately 80 nucleotides in length. Their secondary structure includes four short double-helical elements and three loops (D, anti-codon, and T loops). Further hydrogen bonds mediate the characteristic L-shaped molecular structure. tRNAs have two regions of fundamental functional importance: the anti-codon, which is responsible for specific mRNA codon recognition, and the 3' end, to which the tRNAs corresponding amino acid is attached (by aminoacyl-tRNA synthetases). tRNAs cope with the degeneracy of the genetic code in two manners: having more than one tRNA (with a specific anti-codon) for a particular amino acid; and 'wobble' base-pairing, i.e. permitting non-standard base-pairing at the 3rd anti-codon position. Lineage: Archaea; Nanobdellati; Nanobdellota. The record is from RNAcentral.
GGGCCCUUGGCUUAGUCUGGUUAUAGCACCCGACUGAUAAUCGGGAGGUCGUGGGUUCAAAUCCCAUGGGGCCCA